UGGGGAAUCUUCCGCAAUGGACGAAAGUCUGACGGAGCAACGCCGCGUGAGUGAUGACGGCCUUCGGGUUGUAAAGCUCUGUUAAUCGGGACGAAUGGUUCUUGUGCAAAUAGUGCGAGGAUUUGACGGUACCGGAAUAGAAAGCCACGGCUAACUACGUGCCAGCAGCCGCGGUAAUACGUAGGUGGCAAGCGUUGUCCGGAAUUAUUGGGCGUAAAGCGCGCGCAGGCGGAUUGGUCAGUCUGUCUUAAAAGUUCGGGGCCUAACCCCGUGAUGGGAUGGAAACUGCCAAUCUAGAGUAUCGGAGAGGAAAGGGGAAUUCCUAGUUUAGCGGUGAAAUGCGUAGAUAUUAGGAAGAACACCAGUGGCGAAGGCGACUUUCUGGACGAAAACUGACGCUGAGGCGCGAAAGCCAGGGGAGCGAACGGG
RNAcentral lists this ribosomal RNA (429 nucleotides) under bacterium. Its description in RNAcentral is "partial 16S ribosomal RNA". It matches the Rfam family "Bacterial small subunit ribosomal RNA", at positions 355 to 776 of the family's 1533-position model. The record is from RNAcentral.